This 483-nucleotide ribosomal RNA is filed under the name uncultured bacterium. RNAcentral describes it as "partial 16S ribosomal RNA". It matches the Rfam family "Bacterial small subunit ribosomal RNA", at positions 30 to 507 of the family's 1533-position model. The record is from RNAcentral.
AUUGAACGCUGGCGGCAGGCCUAACACAUGCAAGUCGAGCGGAUGAAGGGAGCUUGCUCCUGGAUUCAGCGGAGGACGGGUGAGUAAUGCCUAGGAAUCUGCCUGGUAGUGGGGGAUAACGUCCGGAAACGGGCGCUAAUACCGCAUACGUCCUGAGGGAGAAAGUGGGGGAUCUUCGGACCUCACGCUAUCAGAUGAGCCUAGGUCGGAUUAGCUGGUUGGUGGGGUAAAGGCCUACCAAGGAAACGAUCCGAAAUGGUCUGAGAGGAUGAUCAGUCACACUGGAACUGAGACACGGUCCAAACUCCUACGGGAGGCAGCAGUGGGGAAUAUUGGACAAUGGGCGAAAGCCUGAUCCAGCCAUGCCGCGUGUGUGAAGAAGGUCUUCGGAUUGUAAAGCACUUUAAGUUGGGAGGAAGGGCAGUAAGUUAAUACCUUGCUGUUUUGACGUUACCAACAGAAUAAGCACCGGCUAACUUCGUG